GACGAACGCUGGCGGCGUGCCUAAUACAUGCAAGUUGAGCGCUGAAGGUUGGUACUUGUACCGACUGGAUGAGCAGCGAACGGGUGAGUAACGCGUGGGGAAUCUGCCUUUGAGCGGGGGACAACAUUUGGAAACGAAUGCUAAUACCGCAUAAAAACUUUAAACACAAGUUUUAAGUUUGAAAGAUGCAAUUGCAUCACUCAAAGAUGAUCCCGCGUUGUAUUAGCUAGUUGGUGAGGUAAAGGCUCACCAAGGCGAUGAUACAUAGCCGACCUGAGAGGGUGAUCGGCCACAUUGGGACUGAGGCACGGCCCAAACUCCUACGGGAGGCAGCAGUAGGGAAUCUUCGGCAAUGGACGAAAGUCUGACCGAGCAACGCCGCGUGAGUGAAGAAGGUUUUCGGAUCGUAAAACUCUGUUGGUAGAGAAGAACGUUGGUGAGAGUGGAAAGCUCAUCAAGUGACGGUAACUACCCAGAAAGGGACGGCUAACUACGUGC
Molecule: ribosomal RNA, 498 nt
Filed under: uncultured bacterium
Lineage: Bacteria
Description: partial 16S ribosomal RNA
Rfam family: Bacterial small subunit ribosomal RNA
Source: RNAcentral